UCUUUUUCUCCUUGUUAGUCCUUUCUUUACCAGUGUCCAAAUUUGCCACACUUCUAGUGCAAGGCAAGUUUCAAAUUUUUUACCACAUGACAAGUUUUGUAGCUGCACUCUGCAUUGUAGAAUUCGAUAUUCCUUCCUGUCCAUUUUCAGAAUUUUCCUCACUUCAUGAAAGCUUUCAAAUGUGGAUGACUUUUCACUUAUACAGUUCCACAACUCUCACUUCUGCCUCAAACCCAACAAACUAAGGGUGAGCUACCAGAGAACUCUUUUCGACUUAAAUUCUUCCAAGUUGUCUUCACCAGAACUUUCUUCAAUUUUUCAUGAAAAACGGUGUUUGCAAACCCUGUUUUUUGCAAUGCCUUUUUACAAUAUUUCCACAACUUACCAAACUGUAAUUUCUUGC
This is a long non-coding RNA of Branchiostoma floridae (Florida lancelet), 403 nucleotides long. RefSeq lists it as uncharacterized. The transcript is spliced from 2 exons. Lineage: Eukaryota; Metazoa; Chordata; Leptocardii; Amphioxiformes; Branchiostomatidae. The record is from RefSeq and is a predicted model, not a curated record.